This 1891-nucleotide ribosomal RNA is filed under the name Heterosigma akashiwo. RNAcentral describes it as "partial Bacterial large subunit ribosomal RNA". It matches the Rfam family "Bacterial large subunit ribosomal RNA", at positions 1 to 1977 of the family's 2925-position model. Lineage: Eukaryota; Raphidophyceae; Chattonellales; Chattonellaceae. The record is from RNAcentral.
UAAGUGAAUAAGGGCGCACGGGGGAUGCCUAGGCUCUCAGAGGCGAAGAAGGACGUGAUAACCUGCGAAAAGCUACGGGGAUUGGCCAAUGCGAAUUGAUCCGUAGAUAUCCGAAUGGGGCAACCCAGUCUUUAAGACUAUCCAGUAAUGGAAGCGAACGUGGGGAACUGAAACAUCUAAGUACCCAUAGGAGGAGAAAAUAAUAAUGAUUCCGUAAGUAGUGGCGAGCGAACGCGGAAGAGCCCAAACCGGAUAUGUUACGGCAUAUCCGGGGUUGUAGGACCUGCAUAAUUUUGAUUAAUCUGACGAGAAUUGUCUGGGAAGGCAAACGAUACAGGGUGAUAGUCCCGUAUUGGAAGGAUUGAGAAGAAGGCGGGUAUCCUGAGUAGGUCGGGACCGGAGAAAUCCCGAUUGAAACUGCCAGCACCAUCUGGUAAGGCUAAAUACUCCUGAGAGACCGAUAGUGAACAAGUACCGUGAGGGAAAGGUGAAAAGUACCCUGAAUAAGGGGGUGAAAUAGAACCUGAAACCAUGCGCUUACAAGCGGUUGGAGCCCAAUAAUUGGGUGACAGCGUGCCUUUUGCAUAAUGAGCCUACGAGUUACUCCUCAUCGGCAAGGGUAAGGCAUUCAGUGCUGUACCCGGAGCGAAAGCGAGUCUGAAAGGGCGAUUGAGUCGGUGGGGGUAGACGCGAAACUUAGUGAUCUACCCAUGGCCAGGUUGAAGUGUUGGUAACACAACAUGGAGGACCGAACCGAUAAGCGUUGAAAAGCUUCCGGAUGAGCUGUGGGUAGGGGUGAAAGGCCAAUCAAACUCGGAAAUAGCUCGUACUCCCCGAAAUGCAUUUAGGUGCAGCGUUGAUUUAUAGUUUUAUAGAGGUAGAGCUACUGAUUGGAUGCGGGGGCUUCACCGCCUACCAAUUCCUGACAAACUCCGAAUGCUAUAAAAUGUUAAUCAGCAGUGAGGGCAUGGGUGCUAAGGUCCAUGUCCGAAAGGGAAAGAACCCAGACCAUCAGCUAAGGUCCCCAAAUAUAUGUUAAGUUGAAUAAACGAGGUUGAACUGCUUUGACAGCUAGGAUGUUGGCUUGGAAGCAGCCAUUCAUUUAAAGAGUGCGUAACAGCUCACUAGUCGAGCGGUUCAGCAUGGAUAAUAAUCGGGCAUAAACAUAUUACCGAAGCUAUGGACUUGAAAAAGUGGUAGGGGAGCAUUGUAGUGGCGUUGAAGGUGUGUUGUGAGGCAUGCUGGAGUAGCUACAAAAGAAAAUGUAGGCAUAAGUAACGAUAAUGCGGGCGAGAAACCCGCACUCCGAAAGACUAAGGUUUCCUCAGCUAUGCUAAUCAGCUGAGGGUUAGUCGGGGCCUAACGCGAACCCGAAAGGGGUAGUGGAUGGAUAACAGGUUAAUAUUCCUGUACCUGCUCAUACUAAAAGUGACGGAGGCGAAAAGUUAGUGCGCACAGACGGAAUUGUGCGUUAAAGAGAGUGGUAACACCUUGAUAGUACACUAAGACUACGGUCGCGGUGAUAAUCUAGCAAAUCGACUUCCAAGAAAAGCGAAUGAAGCAGCCCGUACCCUAAACCGACACAGGUAGUUGGGAUGAGAAUUCUAAGGAGCUCGAGAGAUUCAUGGCUAAGGAACUAGGCAAAAUAGACCUGUAACUUCGGGAGAAAGGUCGCCACCCUUUGGGGUGGCCGCAGUGAAAAGGUCCAGGCGACUGUUUAUCAAAAACACAGGGCUAUGCUAAAUUGAAAGAUGAUGUAUAUGGCCUGACACCUGCCCGGUGCUGGAAGGUUAAGUGGAGUUGUUAGUUUAGGCGAAGCAAUCAAAUGAAGCCCCAGUAAACGGCGGCCGUAACGAUAACGGUCCUAAGGUAGCGAAAUUCCUUGUCGGGU